AACGAACGCUGGCGGCAUGCCUAACACAUGCAAGUCGAACGAGACCUUCGGGUCUAGUGGCGCACGGGUGCGUAACGCGUUGGAACCUGCCCUUAGGUUCGGAAUAACUCCCCGAAAGGGGUGCUAAUACCGGAUAAUGUCUUCGGACCAAAGAUUUAUCGCCUUUGGAUGGGCCCGCGUUGUAUUAGCUAGUUGGUAGGGUAAAAGCCUACCAAGGCGACGAUCCAUAGCUGGUUUGAGAGGAUGAUCAGCCACACUGGGACGGAGACACGGCCCAGAAUCCUACGGGAGGCAGCAGUGGGGGAUAUUGGAAAAUCGGCGAAAGGCUGAUCCACCAAGGCCGCGUGAGUGAUGAAGGCUUUAGGGUUGUAAAGCUCGUUUACCCGGGAUGAUAAUGACAGUACCGGGAGAAUAAGCUCCGGCUAACUCCGUG
This 433-nucleotide ribosomal RNA is filed under the name uncultured bacterium. Its description in RNAcentral is "partial 16S ribosomal RNA". It matches the Rfam family "Bacterial small subunit ribosomal RNA", at positions 29 to 507 of the family's 1533-position model. The record is from RNAcentral.